UACAGAGGUCCCAAGCGUUGUUCGGAUUCACUGGGCGUAAAGGGUGCGUAGGCGGUCGGGUAAGUCUGAUGUGAAAUCCCGCAGCUCAACUGCGGAACGGCAUUGGAUACUAUUCGGCUCGAGGAGUGGAGGGGAGACUGGAAUUCUCGGUGUAGCAGUGAAAUGCGUAGAUAUCGAGAGGAACACCUGUGGCGAAGGCGAGUCUCUGGACACUUCCUGACGCUGAGGCACGAAAGCCAGGGGAGCAAACGGG
RNAcentral lists this non-coding RNA (253 nucleotides) under uncultured Verrucomicrobiota bacterium. RNAcentral's name for it is "uncultured Verrucomicrobia bacterium contains 16S-23S intergenic spacer region". It matches the Rfam family "Bacterial small subunit ribosomal RNA", at positions 524 to 776 of the family's 1533-position model. The record is from RNAcentral. RNAcentral also lists the same sequence under 1 other name. Lineage: Bacteria; Pseudomonadati; Verrucomicrobiota.